GACGAACGCUGGCGGCGUGCCUAAUACAUGCAAGUUGAGCGCUGAAGGUUGGUACUUGUACCAACUGGAUGAGCAGCGAACGGGUGAGUAACGCGUGGGGAAUCUGCCCUUGAGCGGGGGACAACAUUUGGAAACGAAUGCUAAUACCGCAUAAAAACUUUAAACACAAGUUUUAAGUUUGAAAGAUGCAAUUGCAUCACUCAAAGAUGAUCCCGCGUUGUAUUAGCUAGUUGGUGAGGUAAAGGCUCACCAAGGCGAUGAUACAUAGCCGACCUGAGAGGGUGAUCGGCCACAUUGGGACUGAGACACGGCCCAAACUCCUACGGGAGGCAGCAGUAGGGAAUCUUCGGCAAUGGACGAAAGUCUGACCGAGCAACGCCGCGUGAGUGAAGAAGGGUUUCGGAUCGUAAAACUCUGUUGGUAGAGAAGAACGUUGGUGAGAGUGGAAAGCUCAUCAAGUGACGGUAACUACACAGAAAGGGACGGCUAACUACGUG
This 497-nucleotide ribosomal RNA is filed under the name uncultured bacterium. RNAcentral's name for it is "partial 16S ribosomal RNA". It matches the Rfam family "Bacterial small subunit ribosomal RNA", at positions 28 to 507 of the family's 1533-position model. The record is from RNAcentral.